This 484-nucleotide ribosomal RNA is filed under the name uncultured bacterium. RNAcentral describes it as "partial 16S ribosomal RNA". It matches the Rfam family "Bacterial small subunit ribosomal RNA", at positions 30 to 507 of the family's 1533-position model. The record is from RNAcentral.
AUUGGACGCUGGCGGAAUGCUUUACACAUGCAAGUCGAACGGCAGCACGGGGGCAGCCCUGGUGGCGAGUGGCGAACGGGUGAGUAAUACAUCGGAACGUGCCCGGUCGUGGGGGAUAACGUAGCGAAAGUUACGCUAAUACCGCAUACGAUCUGAGGAUGAAAGCGGGGGACCUUCGGGCCUCGCGCGAUCGGAGCGGCCGAUGUCAGAUUAGGUAGUUGGUGGGGUAAAGGCCUACCAAGCCGACGAUCUGUAGCUGGUCUGAGAGGACGACCAGCCACACUGGGACUGAGACACGGCCCAGACUCCUACGGGAGGCAGCAGUGGGGAAUUUUGGACAAUGGGCGCAAGCCUGAUCCAGCCAUUCCGCGUGCAGGACGAAGGCCUUCGGGUUGUAAACUGCUUUUGUACGGAACGAAAAGGCUCUGGCUAAUACCUGGGGCUCAUGACGGUACCGUAAGAAUAAGCACCGGCUAACUACGUG